RNAcentral lists this ribosomal RNA (714 nucleotides) under Acinetobacter sp. DH10-2. Its description in RNAcentral is "bacterial SSU rRNA". It matches the Rfam family "Bacterial small subunit ribosomal RNA", at positions 80 to 789 of the family's 1533-position model. Lineage: Bacteria; Pseudomonadati; Pseudomonadota; Gammaproteobacteria; Moraxellales; Moraxellaceae. The record is from RNAcentral.
UUGCUACUGAUCUUAGCGGCGGACGGGUGAGUAAUGCUUAGGAAUCUGCCUAUUAGUGGGGGACAACAUUUCGAAAGGAAUGCUAAUACCGCAUACGUCCUACGGGAGAAAGCAGGGGAUCUUCGGACCUUGCGCUAAUAGAUGAGCCUAAGUCGGAUUAGCUAGUUGGUGGGGUAAAGGCCUACCAAGGCGACGAUCUGUAGCGGGUCUGAGAGGAUGAUCCGCCACACUGGGACUGAGACACGGCCCAGACUCCUACGGGAGGCAGCAGUGGGGAAUAUUGGACAAUGGGCGCAAGCCUGAUCCAGCCAUGCCGCGUGUGUGAAGAAGGCCUUAUGGUUGUAAAGCACUUUAAGCGAGGAGGAGGCUACUUUAGUUAAUACCUAGAGAUAGUGGACGUUACUCGCAGAAUAAGCACCGGCUAACUCUGUGCCAGCAGCCGCGGUAAUACAGAGGGUGCAAGCGUUAAUCGGAUUUACUGGGCGUAAAGCGCGCGUAGGCGGCUAAUUAAGUCAAAUGUGAAAUCCCCGAGCUUAACUUGGGAAUUGCAUUCGAUACUGGUUAGCUAGAGUGUGGGAGAGGAUGGUAGAAUUCCAGGUGUAGCGGUGAAAUGCGUAGAGAUCUGGAGGAAUACCGAUGGCGAAGGCAGCCAUCUGGCCUAACACUGACGCUGAGGUGCGAAAGCAUGGGGAGCAAACAGGAUUAGAUACCCUG